CCUACGGGUGGCAGCAGUGAGGAAUAUUGGUCAAUGGGCGCGAGCCUGAACCAGCCAAGUAGCGUGAAGGAUGACGGCCCUACGGGUUGUAAACUUCUUUUAUAAAGGAAUAAAGUGAGGCACGUGUGCCUUUUUGUAUGUACUGUAUGAAUAAGGAUAGGCUAACUCCGUGCCAGCAGCCGCGGUAAUACGGAGGAGCCGAGCGUUAUCCGGAUUUAUUGGGUUUAAAGGGAGCGUAGAUGGGUUGUUAAGUCAGUUUUGAAAGUUUGCGGCUCACCCGUAAAAUUGCAAUUGAUACUGGCAGUCUUGCGUACAGUUGAGGUCGGCGGAAUUC
RNAcentral lists this ribosomal RNA (334 nucleotides) under uncultured bacterium. RNAcentral's name for it is "partial 16S ribosomal RNA". It matches the Rfam family "Bacterial small subunit ribosomal RNA", at positions 338 to 669 of the family's 1533-position model. The record is from RNAcentral.